CCUACGGGAGGCAGCAGUGGGGAAUUUUGGACAAUGGGCGCAAGCCUGAUCCAGCCAUGCCGCGUGUGGGAAGAAGGCCUUCGGGUUGUAAACCACUUUUGUCAGGGAAGAAACGGUCUGAACUAAUACUUUGGACUAAUGACGGUACCUGAAGAAUAAGCACCGGCUAACUACGUGCCAGCAGCCGCGGUAAUACGUAGGGUGCAAGCGUUAAUCGGAAUUACUGGGCGUAAAGCGUGCGCAGGCGGCUUUGCAAGACAGAUGUGAAAUCCCCGGGCUCAACCUGGGAACUGCAUUUGUGACUGCAUGGCUAGAGUACGGUAGAGGGGGAUGGAAUUCCGCGUGUAGCAGUGAAAUGCGUAGAUAUGCGGAGGAACACCGAUGGCGAAGGCAAUCCCCUGGACCUGUACUGACGCUCAUGCACGAAAGCGUGGGGAGCAAACAGGAUUAGAUACCCUGGUGGUCCACGCCCUAAACGAUGUCAACUGGUUGUUGGGAGGGUUUCUUCUCAGUAACGAAGCUAACGCGUGAAGUUGACCGCCUGGGGAGUACGGCCGCAAGGUUGAAACGUUAAUGAAUUGACGG
RNAcentral lists this ribosomal RNA (585 nucleotides) under uncultured bacterium. RNAcentral's name for it is "bacterial SSU rRNA". It matches the Rfam family "Bacterial small subunit ribosomal RNA", at positions 338 to 916 of the family's 1533-position model. The record is from RNAcentral.